Molecule: long non-coding RNA, 1697 nt
Filed under: Pogona vitticeps (central bearded dragon)
Lineage: Eukaryota; Metazoa; Chordata; Lepidosauria; Squamata; Agamidae
Description: lncRNA (ENSPVIG00000002654.1)
Source: RNAcentral
GUCCGCUUUUCAAUUUCAAGCUUCUAUAGUUUGCGGUUUUGUUCCAGUGUUUCAUGCCACAGUUUUUCUUCCACUGUUUCAUGUCACGUGCUUUUGCCUUCAAGAGCAGUGGCUCCCAACCUUGGGACCCCAGAUGUUCUUGGAAUAAAGCCUCCAGAAGCCUUCGCUCCCAGAAGCUAUGCUGGCCAGAAUUUCUGGGAGUUGUAGUCCAAGAACAUCUGAGCACCCAAGGUUAGGAAUCAUUGUUCUAGAGCAGUGGUUCUUAACCUUGGGUUACUAAGGUUUUUAUGGACUGCAACUCCCAGAAGCCUUCAUCACCAGCUGUGCUGGCUGGGGUUUCUGGGAGUUGCAGUUCAAAAACACCUGAGUAACCAAAGGUUAAGAACCACUGUUCUAGAGCAAAAGUGACAGUAGGUGAGACAGAAGUCAGAGCCCCUGGUUUCUCUGGUUUCUAACAAAUAAAGAGGAUUUCAAAGAGCUGGAAAUUACUUUGGAGACAUCCCAUCUGUUCUCUUUAAAAGACAUCAUGAAGAGGUUCCUGCUCCUUUCCUUUGUUUGCUCUCUCUUCUCCGUAGUUCGUGGAGCUGACGAUAUUACAUGUGCUUCUUGUUCUGUUGAAGAAACUAACUGUAACACGAACUGCACGGCACAAACUUGCAUCGCCCUAAGGGAACUCAACACAUUAAAAAGUGCCAAUGGGACAUACAGAGGCUGUUUAAGUGAAAACAGGACGUGCAACCCCCUUGCUUUCACUUUCUCUACUGAUGAUAAUCAGCAAGUGCAGAGCAGUGUGGCCUGCUGCACAACCGAGAUGUGUAAUGACAAACUCUCUCUGAGCGCACCUCCCACGAGCACUGUUGAAAAUGGAGCGCAUUGCGCAGUCUGUGAAGCGUACAACAAGAGCACGUGCGAGAGCACAAAGAAAAUCGCCUGCAAAGGAGCUGAAAUCAAAUGCAUCACCCUCUCCGGGGAAUCUCUCCAGGAUAAGAACGAAACUUUCGCAAUCAAAGGAUGUGCCACUGAGAGCGCUUGCACUAUGGUAAAGGGUGACCCAUUAUCCUAUGGAAGCAAAAUCUACCAGCUCUCCGAGAAUCCUGCUUGUAUUAACCAAGGAACCUUGGCUGCUCUGUCUUCUGUAAUCAUCAUCCUUCCUGCGGUUGUUCCACUCCUCAUGACCAGUGUCCUCUCUUGAUCUAGCUGCCUGCCAUUUUCUUCCAAAUUUGUGUUGGAUACGAACAUGACAAUGGGGUGUGGUCUCCAGAACCAGGAAUAACAUUUUAAUCAGGGGGGACUAUCUAUUUUUGUGUGUGGAGGGGAGAACAUAUACAUUUUCCUCUUCUGAAUUUCCGAGGGACCUCACCCUUUAGCUCCCAUCGUCGUCAUCUAGUCGUUUAGUCGUGUCCGACUCUUCGUGAUCCCUUUAACUCCCACUCUCUACCUAUACACCCCUGUUCCUGUUGUGGUUAAGAACAGGAACAGUUGCCCACCCCUGGGAUUCUCCUUGCCCUUUUCCACACUGAAAACAUUUCUGGAUACUCUGAGGUAGAGUUGUUCCUCAGAUGGGUGUAAUCUCCCUAUGGGCUGCAUAGCUCCUUGGAAUGCUCCGAAAGGUGGCCGAAGUGGUGGAUGAGGAGCAAAUGAGAUCUAAAUUUGUAAAGGGAAAUAAAUGAUUUUUUAAAAAAUUGAUUUUUUAAGUU